ACGGGAGCAGUGAGUGGAUCGAGAAGGUGCAGACAACGCACCUUUUACCCGCUCUAGCAUUUUCCAGAACAGGUGGACGGCAUUCGGUAGCCCCACUGACCCACACCAAUCCUUUCUGCUGCUCCUCCAAAAAUGAUUGCUCUCGUCGUCUCCGCAUCCGUAAAACAUCGACAGCUAAUGACUCGGAUGCCAUGUACUGAUGGAAAUGUAUCGUUUGCUUCCCCUGAUGAUGAUGAUGAUGAUGAGCCAGCAAACCUUCCUGCACAACUCUCCCGGUGCUAAUCACUGGGAUGAAACUACUCUUAAGCCUUUCGGAAGCUUUUCUUCGGAAAUGGAGGCUUCCGAUCACAAGUGCUGUGCAUGAAACAUCGUUUGCGAGCAAAUCCUGUUGCCCUGUGCGCUCAGCAGUCCGCAGCUUGUUGUUGUUGGUGUGCUGCCACACCUCUUUUGCCUUGGCUGCGAGGUGGUGGCCACUGAGUUCCGUUUCGGAUCGCAGAAGAUGACCACAUUCCCCAAUCAGAUACUCGGUUGAUGUGUACUCUCACGUCGACUACAAACCACCCGCCCAUGUCCAAGAAUCCAAAAGUUCCCCAUCCCUCUCAUCCUACUCUUCCCCAAUCCCCUUCGUUGCUUCCACUCCACCAACCUGUUCCUGCGGUGCACCACACGCUGCCCUUCCCCUUUAAAGCCCUCGCAGCGCCACCGCCACGCAGGAAAGGAGAGCAUAUCAACGGUAGUAGCGGCAGCGGCGACGACAGUGACAUGGCUGGUCUAAGCGUUCUCUUGGAAACACACAACAGCUUGCCAAAAUACACUCACAUCAUAAGCAAAACCUCCCUCGUUAAGAACUCUUCUCUCUCUUCUCCUCCUUCCUCCUUCGCCACCAGCCCUUUCCUGGAACGCUGCUACCUUUGCCGGAAGAAGCUGCAACAGGGCAAUGAUAUCUACAUGUACAGGGGGGACCGAGCGUUCUGCAGCGUGGAGUGCCGCUGCCGCCAGAUAUUUAUGGACGAGGAGAGCGGGCGGAGGGACCAAUGCUCCCUCGCCGCCGCGGCUGCCUCGGCGGCUGACGCCGGAGCCCAGUCGGAGCGCUGCCGGCCGGGGAGGGCGACCCGAAAAGGGCGGGCCGUGGCCGGUGGUUUCGCGUAGUGUCGUUACUGCUUUGGCCAAGCACCUGGUUUUGGUGUAUUGACCAAAAUACCCUCGCCUUCCUGUUUUCCCCCUCUUCAUUCCAUUCUUAAGGGAAUGGGUUUGCGGGAGCCUCAUGUACUCUGUUCCUUCUCAGAUUACAUUGUUUUGUUCUUACUUCGAUAAAUAAACAUAUUAUAUAUAUAUAUAUAUAUAUAUAUUAGAUUAA
Musa acuminata AAA Group (dessert banana) is the source of this 1357-nucleotide long non-coding RNA. RefSeq lists it as uncharacterized. The transcript has 2 exons. The record is from RefSeq and is a predicted model, not a curated record. Lineage: Eukaryota; Viridiplantae; Streptophyta; Magnoliopsida; Zingiberales; Musaceae.